This 255-nucleotide ribosomal RNA is filed under the name uncultured bacterium. Its description in RNAcentral is "partial small subunit ribosomal RNA". It matches the Rfam family "Bacterial small subunit ribosomal RNA", at positions 26 to 285 of the family's 1533-position model. The record is from RNAcentral.
AGGACGAACGCUGGCGGCGUGCUUAACACAUGCAAGUCGAGCGGAAAGGCCCUUCGGGGUACUCGAGCGGCGAACGGGUGAGUAACACGUGAGCAACCUGCCCCUGGCUCUGGGAUAGCUCCGGGAAACCGGGAUUAAUACCGGAUGUGACCUGCCGCGGCAUCGCGGCGGGUGGAAAGUUUUUCGGCCAGGGAGGGGCUCGCGGCCUAUCGGCUUGUUGGCAGGGUAAUGGGCCUACCAAGGCGACGACGGGUA